GGCAGCAGUGGGGAAUCUUCCGCAAUGGACGCAAGUCUGACGGAGCAACGCCGCGUGAGUGAUGAAGGUUUUCGGAUCGUAAAACUCUGUUGUUAGGGAAGAACAAGUAUCGGAGUCACUGCCGGUACCUUGACGGUACCUAACGAGAAAGCCACGGCUAACUACGUGCCAGCAGCCGCGGUAAUACGUAGGUGGCAAGCGUUGUCCGGAUUUAUUGGGCGUAAAGCGCGCGCAGGCGGUCUUUUAAGUCUGAUGUGAAAUCUUACAGCUUAACUGUAAGCGGUCAUUGGAAACUGGGAGACUUGAGUGCAGAAGAGGAGAGUGGAAUUCCAUGUGUAGCGGUGAAAUGCGUAGAGAUAUGGAGGAACACCAGUGGCGAAGGCGACUCUCUGGUCUGUAACUGACGCUGAGGCGCGAAAGCGUGGGGAUCAAACAGGAUUAGAUACCCUGGUAGUCCACGCCGUAAACGAUGAGAAUCACUAGU
RNAcentral lists this ribosomal RNA (484 nucleotides) under uncultured Bacillota bacterium. Its description in RNAcentral is "bacterial SSU rRNA". It matches the Rfam family "Bacterial small subunit ribosomal RNA", at positions 347 to 823 of the family's 1533-position model. Lineage: Bacteria; Bacillati; Bacillota. The record is from RNAcentral.